CCCGCUGAACUUAAGCAUAUCAAUAAGCGGAGGAAAAGAAACCAACAGGGAUUGCCCUAGUAACUGCGAGUGAAGCGGCAACAGCUCAAAUUUGAAAUCUGGCUCUGUCAGGGCCCGAGAUGUGAUUUGUAGAGGUCGCUUGGGCGUUGGCAGCGGUAUAUGUUCCUUGUGACAGGACGCCACAGAGGGUGAGAAUCCUGUAUGUGGUCGCUUGUCUUCGCUGUGUAAAGCCCCUUCGACGAGUCGAGUUGUUUGGGAAUGCAGCUCAAAAUGGGUGGUAAAUUCCAUCUAAAGCUAAAUACAGGCGAGAGACCGAUAGCGAACAAGUACCGUGAGGGAAAGAUGAAAAGAACUUUGGAAAGAGAGUUAAACAGUAUGUGAAAUUGCUGAAAGGGAAACGCUUGAUGUCAGUCACGUUGGCUAGGGAUCAACCUUGCUUCUCGCUGGGUGUAUUUCCUAGUGGACGGGUCAGCAUCAGUUUCGGUCGCUGUACAAGGGCAAAGGGAACGUGGCACUCCUUGGAGUGUGUUAUAGCCUUUCGUCGUAUGCAGUGGUUGGGACUGAGGAACUCGGCACGAAAUCUAUUUUGUGCUUAGGAUGCUGGCAUAAUGGCCUUAAGCGACCCGUCUUGAAACACGG
Molecule: ribosomal RNA, 639 nt
Filed under: uncultured fungus
Lineage: Eukaryota; Fungi
Description: eukaryotic LSU rRNA
Rfam family: Eukaryotic large subunit ribosomal RNA
Source: RNAcentral